GAUGAACGCUAGCGGGAGGCUUAACACAUGCAAGUCGAGGGGCAGCACGAGGUAGCAAUACUUUGGUGGCGACCGGCAGACGGGUGAGUAACGCGUAUGUAACCUACCCUGUACAGGGGGAUAACCCGGAGAAAUUCGGACUAAUAUCCCAUGGAAAUAUCGAAGGGCAUCUUUUGAUAUUUAAAGUUCCGGCGGUACGGGAUGGGCAUGCGUAACAUUAGCUGGUUGGUAGGGUAACGGCCUACCAAGGCUUUGAUGUUUAGGGGUCCUGAGAGGGUGAUCCCCCACACUGGUACUGAGACACGGACCAGACUCCUACGGGAGGCUG
RNAcentral lists this ribosomal RNA (328 nucleotides) under uncultured Bacteroidota bacterium. Its description in RNAcentral is "bacterial SSU rRNA". It matches the Rfam family "Bacterial small subunit ribosomal RNA", at positions 28 to 351 of the family's 1533-position model. The record is from RNAcentral. Lineage: Bacteria; Pseudomonadati; Bacteroidota.